GACAGAAGCUGACAGUAAUGCCGUUUUGAAAUCCAUGAAAUAUUGUACGAUCUCUAAGAUACUAAUUAUUGCCGGAACAUUAAGUGAGGGAUCAAGGCAGGUGUGAAAAGACAAUCUAUGUAUCUGUGUGUUUGUGGGAUCUCUUAAGGACGAUUACUGUAGCGUUAUGUAAUGGAUCGAUGCAGGAAAGGGGAGGCGAUCUGGGUAUCUGUUUAUCCUGAUAACUAAGCGUUUGUGUGUUCGUAUGUCCAUACUGUAUGAGUGCACCUGUGUAACCUUUGUUUCUGCGCACGUUCACUUCAUACAGAGGAGUUCGUCCACCCAUGUAGCGGUACGCCCCGGUGUGCACCGGCAACACGGCGCCUCCGUAGCGCCAGGCAGCGGUCCUGCACACGCCAGUCCGCCUCCUCCUACCCCUCCGGGUACUGUCGCCGGCCUCCCCCAGACAGAUAAUCGACUCUCUUGGCAGGCACACGGCGCGGUGCGAGUGUGACUCCGAGUGGCAUGCGCGGGGUGCACGUGCUUGGCCCACGUGAGGCCGGGACGGGUGUGACUGGUCAGUGAGCGACAGGUGAGGCCAUGGCGAGGGCGUCGAGGCCACCUGUGCGUCCCAACCUGAGGGGCGGCCUCCGCCUCCUCAUCCUCCUCUCGCUCCUCUUGGAUGUUAUGGUUCCUCCAGGUGAGGCGGCGGCGGUGCUGGUGCUCGGGGCGAGGCGAUGUUAUGAAAAGUUUUGUCGGAGGUCUAUCUUGCCAGAGGAAGCGGACCCGGCUAACAUCAACUCAGCGGGCGUGUGUAUGUUGGUGAAGCCUGAGGCGAAACAAAGGGACAAAUGGGGAGAUUAUGUCCAUCUUCUGGGGCUUCAAAUCUCUAACGUGACUGUCUUUGCAGGCAUAGUUCAAAGUCCGAUACGCAUCACAGAACAUCGGGUCCUUGAAGUGGAGUUCCCGUGCAGUGUGAGGCUGUCCAGGUACCCUUUCGGCAGGUAUUUGUGUAACUUCACCGUUCUUCAAACAAAAUGGAACAGUAAGUGGAAGCUCGCAUAUACCGAAAACGGAGAUUACCGGGAUGUUAAGUACCAAAAGGACAUGAACCUUCUUGAUUUCCGCCGAGAGAAGGUAACAGCAGAGGUGCAUUCUUCUAGUUCCAUGUUAACCUUAAGCCUUCACCUGGCGAAGCAAUCUGAUUACCACAUCACCAAGAGCUUCUUACCAAGCUCCCUCAUGUUUCUGAUCUGUUACUUGUCUCUUUUCUUCCCUUCCGCGUGUUUCAACGAAAGGGUAAUGGUUUUCCUGACCCCCCUCCUUGUUCUCGUUACCCCCUUCUCUUCUGCGACGAACACCUACGUUAGAACACCGUACUACAAGUUAAUUGACGUGCAUGUGGUAUGUCGCGUUGAUCGUCCUCUGCUUUGUCGUUGUGGUUGCCAAUGCGUUCAUCGAUAGUCUGAGGGUUUCGAAGAUGAAAUCACAAACUGACCUGAUGAAACAGGCGUCGGCGUCGAAAAGGUGCAAUACUUCCUGCCAGGUGUUGCUCGCCAUCUAUUUUGUGGCCCUGAUCGUGAUGCUUGUCUUGUAAGCGAACAUCCUGUAGGCGCCUACAGGAUGUCUUUGCUGAACAAGACAAACGCCACGAUCAGAGCCACAAAACAGAUGGCGAGGAACACCUGGCAGGAAGUAUUACACCUUUCGACGCCAACACUUUUUUCAUUAGGUCGGUCUGUGAUUUCACCUUCGAAACCCUCGGACUAUUGAUGGGCGCAUUGGCAACCACAACGACAAAGCAAAGAUUUGUCUUGUUCGGCAAAGACAUCCUGUAUAGGCGCCUGCAGGAUGUCCGCUGAACAAGACAAACAUCACGAUCAGGGCCACAAAACAGAUGUGUGUGUGUGUGUGUGCGCGUAUUUGCGUGCGUAUUUCGCGAUCGCCAGCCAAUACCCAUCCCGACUGAGGCCGGGGCUCAUAAGUGACGGAUCUCUGCGUCCGGCUGAAACCUCACACCCACACACACCGGGGAGGCGGGACACGACCUCGACUGACACCCGGUACAUAUUCACUGCUGGGGGGACAGGGGUCACUGAUUAAAGGGGACUGCCCAUUCUUCUCCACUCCCCACGGGAAUCGAACCCGGGACCUCAUGGUUGUGGCACGAGCGCGCUAACCACUGCACUUUGUCUUCUAUCUGUCUGUGUUUUUUUUUUUAAUACUAACGCCACCAAAACAUCCUCACUGUUAGCAUUAAGACCACCAAAACAUCCUCACUGUUAGCAUUAAGACCACCAAAACAUCCACACUGUUAGCAUUAAGACCACCAAAACAUCCUCACUGUUAGCAUUAAGACCACCAAAACAUCCACACUGUUAGCAUUAAGACCACCAAAACAUCCUCACUGUUAGCAUUAAGACCACCAAAACAUCCUCACUGUUAGGAGCUUAAUACUAACGCCAGAAUGAACACAGGGGAACCACAACACCUGUAACAUUUUAGUCAGAUAAGAAGACGAAAGAAGAGUCUGCCGUCCAUUAUUACCUGCCUGAAAAUAGCAAGCAGGUGAAGGUUUUCCGCGAUAUCUAAUGCCUCACCUUCCUCGUCCGUCUGUUUACAAGUAUGAAAAUUACUACUUAAGAUCAUUAUAAUUAGGAUGUAACUGUUUAUCUUACUUCCUCUCCUCCUGUUGGCUCUACUAACUUGGUGGUGUAAUUUUAUCUGCAAAUAAAGGCUUAGAUGUG
Eriocheir sinensis (Chinese mitten crab) is the source of this 2726-nucleotide long non-coding RNA. RefSeq lists it as uncharacterized. The record is from RefSeq and is a predicted model, not a curated record. NCBI's taxonomy places the organism in Eukaryota, Metazoa, Arthropoda, Malacostraca, Decapoda, Varunidae. The transcript is spliced from 3 exons.